This 2320-nucleotide ribosomal RNA is filed under the name Triticum aestivum (bread wheat). RNAcentral's name for it is "partial small subunit ribosomal RNA". The record is from RNAcentral. Lineage: Eukaryota; Viridiplantae; Streptophyta; Magnoliopsida; Poales; Poaceae.
CGAGCAACCUACAUACCCUGUCUAAUGAGAGUUGGUACGUAACGGUCUUUUCUAACACGUUUGGAUGAGUCGACCUCUUUAGCCUCCUAGUGUGCGUGGUCCUCAUACCUUGUGUAUGCGCUUGUUGACGACGCUGAACGGACGUCGCCUUUGGGAACCGCCCUCGGAACUAACAUGAACUCCAGAACUCGACGUGGUUUCAGACUGCGAAUGGUUAAGCAAGUCCGUCCUACUUCGGGAGCAGUUCGCUAACGGGACGUAACCUACCUUCCGUUCUGAGGUCUAAGCACUAAUGAUAGGACACACACCCGGUCGAAACGUUUUUACGACCGUCGAGGAGCCGAACAUUAUCCUAUCCAGAAACAAUGGACCUUAAAAUCGACAUGAACACCGACACACACUGUCGUGUGACUUGUACUAAAGACAAAAGACGACCGGAGCAAAGUUAUUUUACACGGGCCCCUUUGGGGAUAGGAAGAUUGGUUUUUUUUUGUAUGAUAUCAUCGAGUCGGAAGCCCGUUAGUUGGUAACAAACCUCUCCUUUUUCGAAGUUUGCUAAUUCGGUCACUUCCUAAACAAGAACAGCGCAAAGGUCUUUCAUAUAAUCCGUUAUCUAAUUGAACUACCAGAUUUAGUUGGUACGAGGACUAUUACACCUUCCAAAUGUCGGAGUUCGUUCUCGACGACGUUGAUCGUUUCUCUUUACCACCGAGGGCUUAAGAGGUAGGAGGAACAUUCUACGAGUAGGAGUUCACGAGGUAGUCGCGUUGUGUUGGAAACCGAGCGAACAGUGGGAGACCAAACCGUUCCGGUAGCAAACUAUGUGGUGGAUGUCGUACGCUUACGGUCAACUUCGUGUCAAACCCACCGAGGAAGUCGUGUGAGUCUCGAAACCUUAGGGUCUAAGUAGACACGUAGGAUGCUGUCUGUGGUCUCUGACACGAAUGGUCCCGUCAACCAAACCUGUGGAAGUGGUUGGGCCGGUUAUGGCUGGACGGGUUAGAUCACGAAUUGUUACGAGGUACCCUAUUUUGAGACGUCGGCCGAGUACCGCUGUCUGUUGUGGCCACCGUCCGAAGAGGAGUUACACGUUCUAAUACUCUCUCUGGGGCACAAAAUGCGACACCGACGUGAGACACCUUUGGUUAUGUCGAGCAGAACCAGGUCACUGUAGCAGUCCUCGCCGAGUGUCGACCAUCAUGAAGUGGCACGGAACUUUCUAGUUUUUAGUCGUAGUGUAUACACCUCUACUGGACGUACCGUCUGGUGGUGGUGGCAGGGUCGAACUUUGUCUACCGCUUAAGGCCGCUACGUAGAUGGUUUCUACCGUCGUCGCUCGUAGGUCACCUUGCAAGGACGUUGAAGUAGAGUUCCCCGUAGACGUUGUAGCAACAUUGUCCUCUACGUUCGUCUCAUACGUGCGACUUGUACAUGGUGUCGUCAAGUUGUGUUUUAAUUUCGUGUCCAUGACGUCUAAACUGACCUGGUCCUUGGUCUCCACCCAACGGUAAACGGUCAAGGGUUGUACAAUACGUAAGUAACUAGUCGUCUUCAUGUCUCCCACGGUUCGUCUGCAGGUUCGGGUCUCAGCACUGAAACUACUUGUAGUAAGUUGUAGGUUGGUCAAACUAGAUGAAAGUCACUAUCGACACCUGACCCGAGAACGACGGUACUCGUGUUCAUGUGAUAGUUAGUCCUAUUAACGUACUCUACACGUACAACUUGACAAAGACGUGAAAAAAAGUGGUUCAAAACAAAAAACCGUCAGACCAUAAAGUGGUUCAAGUAACGACCUUCCUCGACGACGACAGAUUGUCUUUCCGCUUUUCGUGGUACUCGUCUUGUGACAUAGAUUUGCACGGUUUCUUGUCGUCGAGGACUAGACUCUAGUCGUUACUGUGCUGUUCGCCUUCUUUCUGUUCUGUAUAAUAACCCAGGAACCCUGGAGAAAACGAGGUACCUGCGAGAUAGGAACAUUUGGAAGGGGAGUAGAUGGGAAAAACCUCGAGUAUAGAACGUCCAUUUUACAACUUGUUCUUUAUAGAGUACUCCUAUCUCGUUAAGAUUGCCUGACCCGACCUAUAUAGUUAGAAGACCACGACCUUCUGUUCCGUCGAAGGGAACUGUACUUCUCCCAGGUCGACAAACACCGUCACCGUGACGCCACACACCUCAGUUGGACAUUUAUCCAACUCAUACCGUUCACUAGCUUGGUCCCUUGUGGUUGAUGACGUUACUGUCCUCGUUCGCUGUGCGGGAUUUUACGUAUUCUACUGGGUCCACGAACUACCUCGUCAACUCUAGGUACACGGAGGACUAG